UAAUACAGAGCCCCCAAGCGUUAUCCGGAUUUAUUGGGCGUAAAGGGUCCGUAGACGCCUCGUCAAGUUUCUUAUUAAAUCUUCAGGGCUUAACCUUGAAGCUGUGGGAAAAACUAGCGAGGUAGAGGGCGUUAGAGGCCAGUGGAAUACACGGUGUAGGGGUGAAAUCCGUUGAUAUCGUGUAGAACACCAAAAGCGAAGGCAGCUGGCUGGAGCGACCCUGACGUUGAGGGACGAAAGCGUGGGGAGCGAAGAGGAUUAGAUACCCUCGUAGUCCACGCCCUAAACGAUGGAUGCUAGCUGGUGGGAGUGUCGACCCUUUCACUGGCGAAGCUAACGCGUUAAGCAUCCCGCCUGAGAAGUACGGCCGCAAGGUUG
Molecule: ribosomal RNA, 378 nt
Filed under: uncultured bacterium
Lineage: Bacteria
Description: bacterial SSU rRNA
Rfam family: Bacterial small subunit ribosomal RNA
Source: RNAcentral